GUCUAAUGCCAUACCACCCUGAAUGCGCUUGAUCUUGUCUGAUCUUGGAAGCUAAGCAGGGUCGGACCUGGUUAGUACUUGGAUGGGAGAAAUGACUUCUCUUAAAAGAAAAGUGAUACUUAGGUC
Molecule: ribosomal RNA, 126 nt
Filed under: Octodon degus (degu)
Lineage: Eukaryota; Metazoa; Chordata; Mammalia; Rodentia; Octodontidae
Source: RNAcentral